This 494-nucleotide ribosomal RNA is filed under the name uncultured bacterium. RNAcentral's name for it is "partial 16S ribosomal RNA". It matches the Rfam family "Bacterial small subunit ribosomal RNA", at positions 28 to 507 of the family's 1533-position model. The record is from RNAcentral.
GACGAACGCUGGCGGCGUGCUUAACACAUGCAAGUCGAACGGGGAAGCGCCUUCCUUUUUGGUGGGUGUGGAUGAGUGGCGAACGGGUGAGUAACACGUGAGUAACCUGCCCCCUUCUUCUGGAUAACCGCAUGAAAGUGUGGCUAAUACGGGAUAUUCUGGGUCUGUCGCAUGAUGGGUCUGGGAAAGAUAUUGUUUCGGUGGGGGAUGGGCUCGCGGCCUAUCAGCUUGUUGGGGGGGUGAUGGCCUACCAAGGCGGUGACGGGUAGCCGGCCUGAGAGGGUGCACGGUCACACUGGGACUGAGACACGGCCCAGACUCGUACGGGAGGCAGCAGUGGGGAAUAUUGCACAAUGGGCGCAAGCCUGAUGCAGCGACGCCGCGUGAGGGAUGGAGGCCUGCGGGUUGUGAAACUCUUUCGCCAGUGAAGCAGGCCUGCCUCGUUUGUGGGUGGGUUGACGGUAGCUGGAUAAGAAGCGCCGGCUAACUACGUG